This 71-nucleotide transfer RNA is filed under the name Gigantometra gigas. Its description in RNAcentral is "tRNA-Val". Lineage: Eukaryota; Metazoa; Arthropoda; Insecta; Hemiptera; Gerridae. The record is from RNAcentral.
CUAGGAUUAGAUACCCUAUUAUUUUAAUUGUAAAUUUUUUUAAUAUUAAUAGUUAUGUUCUUUAAAUUAAA